RNAcentral lists this long non-coding RNA (658 nucleotides) under Piliocolobus tephrosceles (Ugandan red Colobus). Its description in RNAcentral is "lncRNA (ENSPTEG00000004267.1)". The record is from RNAcentral. Lineage: Eukaryota; Metazoa; Chordata; Mammalia; Primates; Cercopithecidae.
AUGUAUUUUAAUGUGAAAAUGGAUAAGUUAAAAAACCUACUUUUCGUUAAAAAUGGAAAAUUUUCAAACACACAAAUAAGGAUAAUAGCAUUUACUUCUUUUAGUAUGUUGCUAUUAAUGAUUACGGGUGAUGGCAUACAAACACCGUACAGUUAUAUAAAAAAUGCUCGUAAUGAAAUAAAAAUGAAAGAAGAAGAGAAAGAAACACUGGAAAAAAGGCUAAUAAAGGAAUUAGGAUAUACCACCUACCAUGAAUGGAAGAAAGCAGGAAUAAUUGAAUCUGAUGAGAAAGCGAAUGAUACAUGUAUGUAUGUUAAACCUCACACAGUGUUUAUACCAUUGCCCCAAGUGAAUGUAGAAGGGAAUAAAGCAAUACAAAUAAAAUAACUUUUCUCUAAUUUUAAAGCACAGUGUUCUCAAUAACUUAUCAAGUCACUCACGUAUAUAUGUACGUACUUAUUAAGUUUCUACAAUGUUCCGCUUUUUUUUUUUUUUUUUUUUAAUUUAAAAAUACUUUUACUACUAUAGUGUUACAAAAAAGAUAAACUGCUCAUUCAUGUAUUAAAAUUAUUUUUGAUUUUUGACAUUUGAUUUUUGAUUUUUGAUUUUUUUUUUUUGAUUUUUUUUUUUUGAUUCUUUUUUUUUUUUUUUUACGAGG